UACAGAGGGGGCAAGCGUUGUUCGGAAUUACUGGGCGUAAAGGGCGCGUAGGCGGCCUUCUAAGUCGAACGUGAAAUCCCCGGGCUCAACCCGGGAACUGCGUCCGAUACUGGAAGGCUUGAAUCCGGGAGAGGGAUGCGGAAUUCCAGGUGUAGCGGUGAAAUGCGUAGAUAUCUGGAGGAACACCGGUGGCGAAGGCGGCAUCCUGGACCGGCAUUGACGCUGAGGCGCGAAGGCUAGGGGAGCAAACGGG
RNAcentral lists this ribosomal RNA (253 nucleotides) under uncultured bacterium. RNAcentral's name for it is "partial 16S ribosomal RNA". It matches the Rfam family "Bacterial small subunit ribosomal RNA", at positions 524 to 776 of the family's 1533-position model. The record is from RNAcentral.